Molecule: long non-coding RNA, 1932 nt
Filed under: Marmota monax (woodchuck)
Lineage: Eukaryota; Metazoa; Chordata; Mammalia; Rodentia; Sciuridae
Source: RNAcentral
AACACCCCUCAUUUUAUGAAUCCCGUUUGUGAGUUCUGGGUUACAGUGGAACAGCGGGAUUCUGAGAGAGCAGGGUCAAAGCUGUAUUCUGUCUUGGAAUAGAUCCGGAAGGGUGGAAGGAAGGAAGAAGGCAUGAGAGUAAGACCAGGUUUUAGAUCUUAGAAACAAGGACACAGGUUUAUUUUUACUGUUUUGUUGUCAACUGUCAGUUACUUUGGCGUCAAGUUCUCAUUGAACAAGUUCUACUCUCUGAGCUGCAUCUUUUUCUCCCUUCAGUUCAGAUACUUAAUAAAUUAACUGACAUGGAAAACAAAGGUUGAAAAUGGGGACCUUCCUGCCUUACCUGAGCCUAACACUACUGGCCUAGGUAGAAGCAGAUGGAGUCUCUCUGAGGCUGAGGCUGCUAACUGUGGUGUGCCCACUGGGCCCAGGUCUUCCGGCCGUGCCUGCCUGACCCCAUCUGGGGGCCCCCAGCAGGCUCCCCAGGUCAGAGCCUCAACAUUUCAGCUGGAGGAUCAGAACAGACUCAAACAGCCUGGAGUCAAGUGGUGUGAUCCUGAGGAAGAACUGGGCGGGAAGGAAACCUGCCGGACUCACUCUGCUGAUGGGCGUGGGCUCCUGUCCUUCAACACAGGGCCUCCGUGCUGACACUCCUUUGCCCUUUGUUUUCUUUCAGUUUUUCCUAAAUAUAUCAGCAAUCCUGUCAGCUGCCUCAGGAAUGGAGGAUUGUGUAAGGCUGCCUGCCGUGGACAUCUGAAGAAGAUCUGCACCUGCGGCAUACCAGGGCCCAAAUGCUGUCGGGUAAAGUGAGGAGGCCCAGAGACCACAGCAACAGAAGUGGACCAGACCUCUUCCAACCCCAGCCACAUUAAAGCAUGUGUUCAGAACCUUGCCUUCUAGUGAUAUGGUGACCCGACCGACCCGUAGUCAUGUCCUGGGGACACGCUGUUAAGCUCUGCAUACUGACAAUCAGGACAGUGCAGGGGGCUUCUGUGUCUUUCCAGGGACCCCUGAGUGCAUCUGUCUCCAUGAUACCCCCAUCUUCCCCAGUGACACUGCGUGCUUUGCUCUUCCUGCCCCCCUCCCCUUGCAUGCCCUGACCUACUAUGAAAACAGCCCAAUCCCUCUGUCCCCACUCAAACCCGCUGGCUCUGGAAGCCAGAGCAGCACCCUUGCACCUCUGCUCUCCGCGCCCUGCCCUUGGGUCCUGCUUUUGCUCAGCUGGGCCUGGUGCACGUACAGGUAACACUCUAAUUCUCUCAGGCCAACAGGUCUCUGUGUGUGGACUUUGUCUGUCCUUUUAUGCACUGGUCAUUGAGGGGAGGCCUUGCUGCAUAAGUGAUUAUGAACAGAAGGGCGCAGUUGAGUUGGACAGUGUUUCCUGCCGUGUAGAUGGAGGGUGAUAAGGUCAAGAGUGGGAAAGCAGGUUCUCACCAGAGACACAGGGAAUGACAUCAGUAAAACAGGGGACAGAGGAAGAGGGAGCCAAGGUCCAAAGGAGAGACCAAGACAGGGCAGCAGCCAGACACUGCUGAGCCUGACACCCUUGCCCAGGGUAGGUCCUUGCUGGUGGAUCCUGUGGGUGCCCCACUGUUUCUCCACCUGAACGCUCCCCUGAAUGUGCUCCUAAUUCUGGGUGAAUGCAGCUCGAUUCCAAAAUAAUACCUACAGUCUCAGGAUUGAAAAAAGAAACGACACCUUGUUACAGUAAAAUCAUUUUUAUCAGGAUAGGUACAUCUGAUAACAGGUGAGAUGAGAGAGACACUGCUGUGGGUAGAAACUUAAGUACCCCCCCAAAAAUCCACACUCAAGACAAAAUAUGAUGAAAUAUUUUUAAAAAACUAAAAUCAGUGCUCCAAAUCCAUGAUUAACACAAUAUCCAAAUAUCAAACCAGGACAGGAUCUACCUUCAGUUUCACUCUGCAAACCCAC